GAUGAACGCUGGCGGCGUGCCUAAUACAUGCAAGUCGAGCGAACGGACGAGAAGCUUGCUUCUCUGAUGUUAGCGGCGGACGGGUGAGUAACACGUGGAUAACCUACCUAUAAGACUGGGAUAACUUCGGGAAACCGGAGCUAAUACCGGAGAAUAUUUUGAACCGCAUGGGUCAAAAGUGAAAGACGGUCUUGCUGUCACUUAUAGAUGGAUCCGCGCUGCAUUAGCUAGUUGGUAGGGUAACGGCUUACCAAGGCAACGAUGCAUAGCCGACCUGAGAGGGUGAUCAGCCACACUGGAACUGAGACACGGUCCAGACUCCUACGGGAGGCAGCAGUAGGGAAUCUUCCGCAAUGGGCGAAAGCCUGACGGAGCAACGCCGCGUGAGUGAUGAAGGUCUUCGGAUCGUAAAACUCUGUUAUUAGGGAAGAACAUAUGUGUAAGAAACUGUGCACAUCUUGACGGUACCUAAUCAGAAAGCCACGGCUAACUACGUG
Molecule: ribosomal RNA, 497 nt
Filed under: uncultured bacterium
Lineage: Bacteria
Description: partial 16S ribosomal RNA
Rfam family: Bacterial small subunit ribosomal RNA
Source: RNAcentral